CACUGGUCAAGAGCUGACGUCGCUAUCCUGAUGAGUCCAAGGCAGGACGAAACCAGUG
RNAcentral lists this small RNA (58 nucleotides) under Helianthus annuus (common sunflower). The record is from RNAcentral. Lineage: Eukaryota; Viridiplantae; Streptophyta; Magnoliopsida; Asterales; Asteraceae.